RNAcentral lists this long non-coding RNA (1213 nucleotides) under Olea europaea subsp. europaea. Lineage: Eukaryota; Viridiplantae; Streptophyta; Magnoliopsida; Lamiales; Oleaceae. The record is from RNAcentral.
AUACCGUUAAACUCGUGCAAUUGCAGAUGAGAAGGGAUGACCUGCUGAACCAACCAUCUGACAUCCAUAACCAAGGCCAAUGCACCAACUUCCUUAAAGAUGUAAUGUUGGAUCUUUUCAUACUUCUCCAUUUUCAUUUUCUCAAUUAUAGUCUUGUCUAAAGUUUCCAACAUUAAUUACAACAUGUCUAUAAUUGAAGACCAGAUUGCAAGUCAAGAACAUGGCACAAGGAGCAACAGAUAUAGGCAAAGGAACGGCACAAGGGGCCAUGAACCUUGCACGGGGAAAGCAGCUGGAGCUGCAAAUAUGGCAUUUGGAGCAGUUGAUGCAAUGAAAAACACCCUUGGGAUGAACCCUGUAGACAAUACCGGCCCCAUCAACCGCCCUGGAAACAUGGAAGUGCACUGGUUCAAACAACCCAAGAAGCACAGAGUAUCCAAGUGAUAAGUGUAUUUUUGCACACUUAUUUAGGUCACAAAUAUGACUUAAUUACGAGCAAAAUGAUUGAAUUAUGACUUAAUCUCGUUACAUUUGUGAAUUGUAGAAAACACCGAUGAACAUGGUGAAAUUCAAGAGAAAAGACACGAAAAAGGACUUAAAUGACGCAAAGUGAAAGUUCAGGGACCAAGGUGCAAUUAUGAACAAAUCAAGAAAUUGAUUAAGCCAAAUAUCAAUUGAUGAUAUCUUGGGAUGAUAGAAUGGAAAGAAUGAAGAAAAAAUGCCAAGAAGUGAAAGGUUCAAGUAGAAUGACCAAAAUGAAUUUUUUCCAUAGUUGGUAGCCGCAUAGUGCUACCCUCUAUGCAACCACAUAGAAGCAAACCGAGAAUAACUUCUUAGUAAAUUUUUAUUCUAUGCGGCCACAUAGAGCAAUUCGAAGGUCGAAUCCGCAGUUUCCUUAUUUCGCCGAAACUCUUAUGAAAACAAGAUUUUUAGGGUCCUAUAUAAACAAAAACUCGACCAAAAUGAGGGGGACGCCGAUUUUACAAGAAAAAAAGAGAUUUUGAAGGAGAAAACGAAGAGAGAACAAGAGGAAAACAUCGCGCCAAUUAAAGAUUUGAUUGAAACUUGAUUCGGGUAAUGAUGUUUUUCAACUAUUUUUGUAUUUUCUUCUUUUUAGCAUGUUAGGCUAGAUUUUUCAUCACUAGGAGAUCAAUAAACCUUGCAAUACUACUUUUGAUUUUUGAUUUGGAGAUUUGACAUAUUUAAACACAUG